This 313-nucleotide ribosomal RNA is filed under the name Escherichia coli. RNAcentral describes it as "partial 23S ribosomal RNA". It matches the Rfam family "Bacterial large subunit ribosomal RNA", at positions 1 to 309 of the family's 2925-position model. The record is from RNAcentral. Lineage: Bacteria; Pseudomonadati; Pseudomonadota; Gammaproteobacteria; Enterobacterales; Enterobacteriaceae.
GGGUUGUGAGGUUAAGCGACUAAGCGUACACGGUGGAUGCCCUGGCAGUCAGAGGCGAUGAAGGACGUGCUAAUCUGCGAUAAGCGUCGGUAAGGUGAUAUGAACCGUUAUAACCGGCGAUUUCCGAAUGGGGAAACCCAGUGUGAUUCGUCACACUAUCAUUAACUGAAUCCAUAGGUUAAUGAGGCGAACCGGGGGAACUGAAACAUCUAAGUACCCCGAGGAAAAGAAAUCAACCGAGAUUCCCCCAGUAGCGGCGAGCGAACGGGGAGGAGCCCAGAGCCUGAAUCAGUGUGUGUGUUAGUGGAAGCGU